GUUUUCUCAUGGAAAUAAAAACCUAAGUAACUGAACCUUCUCAGACUGUGAGUGCCAUAAUUCAGUCAGGACACAGUAUUUGUUCUCAGAAUGCAGUCAACAACUAACUUUUAGAUGCCUCAAAUGGAGAAGACACAGGGGAACGCCCCCAGAAAAGAAAAUCAGCAAAGCUUAAAUGUGAAGGAAUCAGUGUGGGGAAGAGAGAAGUAACCAGAGAUUUCAGUGUUCACAAACUUUAACUCAAAUCUGUUAUUUGAAGAGCUUAUAACUGUUAUUUGAGCAGCUUAUAACUGACAGUGUUUUAGCUUAAAGAGAAAUCCUACAACAAAGAGAAAUUUUUAAAUUAGAACUUAUAAAUCCUUUUUUCUCAGAAGAUAGAGCUUUACAGUUAUAUUGAACUUAUGGAGUGUUUCUAAGAAAGUAAAGAGCAAGCCAAGUGACUUCCUGGCUGUGAAGGUUUGAUGGAGUAAGAAAAAACAAAUCUAAGUGAGGCCCCGGUGCAUGCUUGGAAGGACUUCAGCCCUGAACUAUCAUACUAGCCUUUGAAAUACCUUCUGGAACUACAGGAUCGCAAUCACGAUACUAUUUCUGGGAGUGCCGAAACAGAUGCGGAUAAGUAAAUUAAACUAUGGAUAUCUAGUCUUCAGACACACA
Non-coding RNA from Rattus norvegicus (Norway rat), 654 nucleotides. The record is from RefSeq and is a predicted model, not a curated record. Lineage: Eukaryota; Metazoa; Chordata; Mammalia; Rodentia; Muridae.